Molecule: ribosomal RNA, 253 nt
Filed under: uncultured bacterium
Lineage: Bacteria
Description: partial 16S ribosomal RNA
Rfam family: Bacterial small subunit ribosomal RNA
Source: RNAcentral
UACGUAGGGUGCGAGCGUUAAUCGGAAUUACUGGGCGUAAAGCGUGCGCAGGCGGUUCGUUGUGUCGGCGGGGAAAGCCCCGGGCUUAACCUGGGAAUGGCCGUUGAAACUGGCGAACUGGAGUGUGGCAGAGGGGGGUGGAAUUCCGCGUGUAGCAGUGAAAUGCGUAGAGAUGCGGAGGAACACCGAUGGCGAAGGCAGCCCCCUGGGCUAACACUGACGCUCAUGCACGAAAGCGUGGGGAGCAAACAGG